This 228-nucleotide ribosomal RNA is filed under the name uncultured bacterium. Its description in RNAcentral is "partial 16S ribosomal RNA". It matches the Rfam family "Bacterial small subunit ribosomal RNA", at positions 109 to 334 of the family's 1533-position model. The record is from RNAcentral.
AGUAACACGUGAGUAGCCUGCCCCCUUCUUCUGGAUAACCGCAUGAAAGUGUGGCUAAUACGGGAUAUUCUGCGCCUGCUGCAUGGUGGGUGUGGGAAAGAUAUUGUUUCGGUGGGGGAUGGGCUCGCGGCCUAUCAGCUUGUUGGUGGGGUGAUGGCCUACCAAGGCGGUGACGGGUAGCCGGCCUGAGAGGGUGGACGGUCACACUGGGACUGAGACACGGCCCAG